UGCUUGUAGUACGUGUUGAUCGUUUGUGAUAUUUUGUCAAAUUUUAGCCACUACAAUUCUAACCAUAGCAUGGUCUGAAUUGGAGUAAUAUUCAAAUUCAUUGCUAUAAACUUUUAAAAUAAGUACCUCCUAUACUAUAUUUUACUUUACUUUAUUGAAAUUGAAAGAGUAUAAAUUAAUGCUGAUGCAGAUUUUUAAGGUCGAUCGUUUAAUCAAUGAUGCUUUUACUAUCUGUCCCUCAAUGCUUCUUCUUCCAUUUUCUCUAAUAGGUGAUUCUACACACUCAGGAGGCCAACGCACUAGAAAAAUUAGCAGAUUCAGUAUCAUUGUUGUUAUUACUGGUGACAUGGGGAUAAAAAAAUUACUUGAAGAAGUUAUAUUCUAAAAGAAAGUUGUGCUGCCUACAAUUUGAGUAGUGGGAAAGAAAAAUCUGUCCUGUACAUGGUUGCUGUCUUUGAAAGAGCGUCUCGAUAAUUUCAGGGUGCUUGGGGGUGAUUCUUUGACUUCUGGAAAGACGUAAGUACUCCUCUUUUAGUUAAUUAGGUAUUUUCUGCAUAGAAGCUGAUACGAGUCAAAUGACCACCUUAGCUUUUGAUGACAUCUUUGAAGGCCAACACCUAAAGGCUCAAGAUUUGGUCACCCCGAGAGCACAAGGAUACGCAAGGAAGGAUCAUUUUGAGCAUGACUUAAAGCAAUCUCGUGUGUGGAAGGUUGCUUGGUUGCCUACAUUGAUGCUAACCCGAAAACCACAAGCCUUGAAGUAUGAACCAUACUCGGUUUUUGAGAGCAUUGAAAAGGCGCCAUUCAUUCAAGUUAUAACAUACCUUGGCUGCCCCUUCAUUAAGGGUAUUUUAUACAUUACAUAUGGUGUAUUUACACACCAUGGCAGCCCCUCUCAUUAAGGGCAAAGUGGUCUUUUUAUCUUCAUUUAUAGUAUAUUAUAAAUAGGCCCCUUUAGUCUUAUUUUCACUAGUUUUGAAUGAUGAAAGAUUGAAACACUUGAAAAUCCUCUCUCUUGAGGCCCCUUUAGUCUUAUUUUCACUAGUUUUGAAUGAUGAAAGAUUGAAACACUUGAAAAUCCUCUCUCUUGAGAGUAGACCACAUUAGUAUAGUCUUAGUUAGGACUUGGAAAAGUCAUCCUUAGUAUAGGGCUUGGAAAAGCCAAUAUUGUUCUUUGCUUAGAAACGGUGGAUCUUGAGGUGAGUCGAUUACCUUGGCGGUUACCGUAAGAGUGUGGUUUUGAUUAUUACAUUCAUUAGGGGUUAGUGUUGAAAUAUACUUGGUUCUUAAUCUUGUAAUAAUUUUGGUCUCACUAUCUAUCUUUAUUUUUUAUGCAAUUUCCUUUGUGUUUGUGUUGAAUCCGUGUCUUGUUUCAUCUUCAUCUCCUCUCUUUAGUUAUAAUUUCAGUUUCUAGCUUUGUUUCCCGUAUCAUUUGGUAUCAGAGCAUGGCUUGAUCUUGUUCCUACAAGAUCAAUCUUGGGCUUGCUUGUUAGAAAAUAAAAAAAAAAGUGUUAAAAACUGAAAA
Capsicum annuum is the source of this 1525-nucleotide long non-coding RNA. RefSeq lists it as uncharacterized. The record is from RefSeq and is a predicted model, not a curated record. The transcript is spliced from 4 exons. Lineage: Eukaryota; Viridiplantae; Streptophyta; Magnoliopsida; Solanales; Solanaceae.